GCAGUCGAGCGGUAACAGGAGAAGCUUGCUUCUCGCUGACGAGCGGCGGACGGGUGAGUAAUACUUAGGAAUCUACCUAGUAGUGGGGGAUAGCUCGGGGAAACUCGAAUUAAUACCGCAUACGACCUACGGGAGAAAGGGGGCAACUUGUUGCUCUCGCUAUUAGAUGAGCCUAAGUCGGAUUAGCUAGAUGGUGGGGUAAAGGCCUACCAUGGCGACGAUCUGUAGCUGGUCUGAGAGGAUGAUCAGCCACACCGGGACUGAGACACGGCCCGGACUCCUACGGGAGGCAGCAGUGGGGAAUAUUGGACAAUGGGGGCAACCCUGAUCCAGCCAUGCCGCGUGUGUGAAGAAGGCCUUUUGGUUGUAAAGCACUUUAAGCAGUGAAGAAGACUCCAUGGUUAAUACCCAUGGACGAUGACAUUAGCUGCAGAAUAAGCACCGGCUAACUCUGUGCCAGCAGCCGCGGUAAUACAGAGGGUGCAAGCGUUAAUCGGAAUUACUGGGCGUAAAGCGAGCGUAGGUGGCUUGAUAAGUCAGAUGUGAAAGCCCCGGGCUUAACCUGGGAACGGCAUCUGAUACUGUUAGGCUAGAGUAGGUGAGAGGAAGGUAGAAUUCCAGGUGUAGCGGUGAAAUGCGUAGAGAUCUGGAGGAAUACCGAUGGCGAAGGCAGCCUUCUGGCAUCAUACUGACACUGAGGUUCGAAAGCGUGGGUAGCAAACAGGAUUAGAUACCCUGGUAGUCCACGCCGUAAACGAUGUCUACUAGUCGUUGGGUCCCUUGAGGACUUAGUGACGCAGCUAACGCAAUAAGUAGACCGCCUGGGGAGUACGGCCGCAAGGUUAAAACUCAAAUGAAUUGACGGGGGCCCGCACAAGCGGUGGAGCAUGUGGUUUAAUUCGAUGCAACGCGAAGAACCUUACCUGGUCUUGACAUAUCUAGAAUCCUGCA
RNAcentral lists this ribosomal RNA (951 nucleotides) under Psychrobacter faecalis. RNAcentral describes it as "bacterial SSU rRNA". It matches the Rfam family "Bacterial small subunit ribosomal RNA", at positions 57 to 1002 of the family's 1533-position model. Lineage: Bacteria; Pseudomonadati; Pseudomonadota; Gammaproteobacteria; Moraxellales; Moraxellaceae. The record is from RNAcentral.